RNAcentral lists this transfer RNA (72 nucleotides) under Candidatus Portiera sp. Its description in RNAcentral is "tRNA-Gly". It matches the Rfam family "tRNA". Rfam says of the family: Transfer RNA (tRNA) molecules are approximately 80 nucleotides in length. The record is from RNAcentral. Lineage: Bacteria; Pseudomonadati; Pseudomonadota; Gammaproteobacteria; Johnevansiales (SeqCode); Johnevansiaceae (SeqCode).
GCGGGAAUAGCUCAGUGGUAGAGUAUAACCUUGCCAAGGUUGGGGUCGCGAGUUCGAAUCUCGUUUCCCGCU